GACGAACGCUGGCGGCGUGCUUAACACAUGCAAGUCGAACGCUGAAGCUUGGUGCUUGCACUGGGUGGAUGAGUGGCGAGCGGGUGAGUAAUACGUGAGUAACCUGCCCUUGACUCUGGGAUAAGCCUGGGAAACUGGGUCUAAUACUGGAUACGACAUGUCACCGCAUGGUGGUGUGUGGAAAGGGUUUUACUGGUUUUGGAUGGGCUCACGGCCUAUCAGCUUGUUGGUGGGGUAAUGGCUCACCAAGGCGACGACGGGUAGCCGGCCUGAGAGGGUGACCGGCCACACUGGGACUGAGACACGGCCCAGACUCCUACGGGAGGCAGCAGUGGGGAAUAUUGCACAAUGGGCGGAAGCCUGAUGCAGCGACGCCGCGUGAGGGAUGACGGCCUUCGGGUUGUAAACCUCUUUCAGCACGGAAGAAGCGAAAGUGACGGUACGUGCAGAAGAAGCGCCGGCUAACUACGUG
RNAcentral lists this ribosomal RNA (472 nucleotides) under uncultured bacterium. RNAcentral's name for it is "partial 16S ribosomal RNA". It matches the Rfam family "Bacterial small subunit ribosomal RNA", at positions 28 to 507 of the family's 1533-position model. The record is from RNAcentral.